AGCCCAAGAGAUCGGGAUAACACCUUGAAACAGAUGCUAAUACCGGAUAACAACAGAUGAUGCCUAUCAACUGUUUAAAAGAUGGUUCUGCUAUCACUCUUGGAUGGACCUGCGGUGCAUUAGCUAGUUGGUAGGGUAACGGCCUACCAAGGCGAUGAUGCAUAGCCGAGUUGAGAGACUGAUCGGCCACAUUGGGACUGAGACACGGCCCAAACUCCUACGGGAGGCAGCAGAA
RNAcentral lists this ribosomal RNA (235 nucleotides) under uncultured Lactobacillus sp. Its description in RNAcentral is "partial 16S ribosomal RNA". It matches the Rfam family "Bacterial small subunit ribosomal RNA", at positions 127 to 354 of the family's 1533-position model. The record is from RNAcentral. Lineage: Bacteria; Bacillati; Bacillota; Bacilli; Lactobacillales; Lactobacillaceae.